GGCUUGGCUGGGCGGUCCGCCUCACGGUGAGUACUGUCCGGCCGAGUCUUACCUCCUGGUGAGCCGGCAUGCCCUUUACUGGGUGUGUCGGGGAACCAGGACAUUUACCUUGAGAAAAUUAGAGUGUUCAAAGCAGGCAUUUGCUCGAAUACAUUAGCAUGGAAUAAUAGAAUAGGACGU
RNAcentral lists this ribosomal RNA (180 nucleotides) under uncultured Glomeromycotina. Its description in RNAcentral is "partial small subunit ribosomal RNA". The record is from RNAcentral. Lineage: Eukaryota; Fungi; Glomeromycota.